Molecule: long non-coding RNA, 1233 nt
Organism: Bos taurus (domestic cattle)
Lineage: Eukaryota; Metazoa; Chordata; Mammalia; Artiodactyla; Bovidae
Source: Ensembl
CGCCCAGGGAGCGUCGGCCAAGUGCCACGCCGCGCCGCGGCCGCACAGGCGCUCCGCGCGCGCCCCGGUCCCCCUGGAGACGCGGUGCGGCUACGUCGGAAGCUCAGCUCAACCCGAGCCGGACGACCGGGCUUCUCGGGCGAGAGUCUUCCGCCCGGGGCCCCGCGGAGCCUGGAGGCGCCGAAGCAAUGCGGCCGGCUCCCCAGCUCUGCGCCGGGACGCGUGGCGCCCGGCUCCCCGCCCGCCGCGGGCUACGCCACUCCCACCUCUACACACGCGACCCCCGCCGCGCGCAGCACGCGCGCGCAGGGCCGGCCGCCGCUCCGGCUGAGUCAACACCCGACUGUGGAAGCUGGCGGCGUAGCCGCUCGGGAGCAAGCCCGCCUCGCCUCGCCUCGCCUCGCCGCGCGCACCCCUAGCGGCCCCCGAAGAAGGCGGCCAACCUUGCCCGCUGCCUUUGGGGCGCCCAGCUGGGUGCCCUCGGGCGCUCCCACGACCUUGGGAAGGAAGACGCGCGGCUCGGCUCUCUCCUCUCUCUUACCCCCUCUUCUCUCUUUCCCCUUCCUUUUUCUUUUUCCUGCCUUUUCUUUUUCUCUUUCUUUAUAACUUCUGUGCCCCGCCCCGACCCCUAGAGAUGAGCCUGCCCUUUCCAACCUUUCCCUUUCCAACCUUUCCAGAGGAAAUUAUUAUCUGCUCUCGAGGCACUAAUCAAGUGACAGCUGCUCUGCCCGAGCUCCCCAUCCCCAUUCCUCCGCGCCCCCCACCCACCAACAAUGCCUUGGGAAACCCUGCUGCCAGUCUAGGCUGCUCAGUGUGACCUUGAUCGUCGCGAAGUGCUCGACAAAUGUCCUCACCUGUCUCCCAGGAAGAUGCGAAGGGAAGAUCACCUUGGGGGCUGUUCAGGAGGUCCCGAGGAGAGGUUGGCUUCUCAGCCUGGUUCAGGACUUGGUGACAUCAUCAAAGACCAAGGCACCUGUGACCCUGCAGUCCUCAUCAUGGUGGCUUUUCUUCCAAUGUUUGGAGCCUCACAGUCACAACAUGGCUGCUGUAUCCACCACAUCGCCUGCUAACACCACUCCAAAGCAGGAAAGGAAAGAAGAGGAUAAAGGGCCUCUCUCUUAUCAAACUUUCUCCAAAGCCCGCAGCAAGAAGGCUCUCCCUUACACCUCACAGGCCAGACUGGGACACGUGACCACCUUUAAAUAGUCCUUGACCAAGAGCGAGGUUGUAACC